Molecule: ribosomal RNA, 400 nt
Filed under: uncultured Choreotrichida
Lineage: Eukaryota; Ciliophora; Spirotrichea
Description: partial small subunit ribosomal RNA
Rfam family: Eukaryotic small subunit ribosomal RNA
Source: RNAcentral
GCUUGUCUCAAAGAUUAAGCCAUGCAUGUCUAAGUACAAGCCUCAGUAAGGUGAAACCGCGAAUGGCUCAUUAAAUCACACCUAAUCUACUGGAAAGUUACUAGUUACUUGGAUAACUGAGGUAAUUCUAGAGCUAAUACAUGCUGGUGUGCCUGACUUUUCGGAAGGGCGGUAUUUAUUAGAUAACGAACCAAUAUUCCUCUGGUCUAUUGUGGUGAAUCAUAAUAACUGAUCGAAUCGCAAAGCCUUUGGCUGCGAUAUGUCAUUCAAGUUUCUGCCCCAUCAGCUUUCGAUGGUAGUGUAUUGGACUACCAUGGCUUUUACGGGUAACGGAGAAUUAGGGUUCGAUUCCGGAGAGGGAGCCUGAGAAACGGCUACCACAUCUAAGGAAGGCAGCAGG